RNAcentral lists this long non-coding RNA (303 nucleotides) under Zostera marina. RNAcentral describes it as "long non-coding RNA (ZMAR_LNC002564)". Lineage: Eukaryota; Viridiplantae; Streptophyta; Magnoliopsida; Alismatales; Zosteraceae. The record is from RNAcentral.
GGUUGAAGGUUUGUUUUGCGGAUUUAUAAAUUUGUGAUUUGAAGGCCGGUGUUAGUUUAGAAGCUUUGCGGAUCAAUGUAAUAAUAUUUAUUCAUUUAAAUUUUUUUAAUCCAAUUAGUUAAUCUAAUUUGCAUGUUAGUUAGAAAUUAGUUAAUCUAAUUUGCAUGCUAAGUAAUAGUAAAAUGAAAUGCAUGUUCUUAAAUUGUGUGAAUUGAAAAUGAAUGCAAAUUUUUUGAAAUGAAUUCUAUAAAAUGAAAUGUCAUGAAAUGAAUUAAAAUGCAUGAUUUAAAAAGAAUUCAUGAG